CCUACGGAGGCAGCAGUGGGGAAUAUUGCACAAUGGGGGAAACCCUGAUGCAGCGACGCCGCGUGAGUGAAGAAGUAUUUCGGUAUGUAAAGCUCUAUCAGCAGGGAAGAAACCCACCCUUUGGGGUGGCUGACGGUACCUGACUAAGAAGCCCCGGCUAACUACGUGCCAGCAGCCGCGGUAAUACGUAGGGGGCAAGCGUUAUCCGGAUUUACUGGGUGUAAAGGGAGCGUAGACGGCAUAGCAAGUCUGAAGUGAAAGCCCGUGGCUCAACCGCGGAACUGCUUUGGAAACUGUUAAGCUGG
RNAcentral lists this ribosomal RNA (305 nucleotides) under uncultured bacterium. Its description in RNAcentral is "bacterial SSU rRNA". It matches the Rfam family "Bacterial small subunit ribosomal RNA", at positions 338 to 644 of the family's 1533-position model. The record is from RNAcentral.